Molecule: ribosomal RNA, 1440 nt
Filed under: uncultured organism
Description: SSU rRNA
Rfam family: Bacterial small subunit ribosomal RNA
Source: RNAcentral
AGCUACAGGCUUAACACAUGCAAGUCGAGGGGCAGCAUGGUCUUAGCUUGCUAAGACUGAUGGCGACCGGCGCACGGGUGAGUAACACGUAUCCAACCUGCCGUCUACUCUUGGACAGCCUUCUGAAAGGAAGAUUAAUACAAGAUGGCAUCAUGAGUCCGCAUGUUCACAUGAUUAAAGGUAUUCCGGUAGACGAUGGGGAUGCGUUCCAUUAGAUAGUAGGCGGGGUAACGGCCCACCUAGUCUUCGAUGGAUAGGGGUUCUGAGAGGAAGGUCCCCCACAUUGGAACUGAGACACGGUCCAAACUCCUACGGGAGGCAGCAGUGAGGAAUAUUGGUCAAUGGGCGAGAGCCUGAACCAGCCAAGUAGCGUGAAGGAUGACUGCCCUAUGGGUUGUAAACUUCUUUUAUAAAGGAAUAAAGUCGGGUAUGGAUACCCGUUUGCAUGUACUUUAUGAAUAAGGAUCGGCUAACUCCGUGCCAGCAGCCGCGGUAAUACGGAGGAUCCGAGCGUUAUCCGGAUUUAUUGGGUUUAAAGGGAGCGUAGAUGGAUGUUUAAGUCAGUUGUGAAAGUUUGCGGCUCAACCGUAAAAUUGCAGUUGAUACUGGAUAUCUUGAGUGCAGUUGAGGCAGGCGGAAUUCGUGGUGUAGCGGUGAAAUGCUUAGAUAUCACGAAGAACUCCGAUUGCGAAGGCAGCCUGCUAAGCUGCAACUGACAUUGAGGCUCGAAAGUGUGGGUAUCAAACAGGAUUAGAUACCCUGGUAGUCCACACGGUAAACGAUGAAUACUCGCUGUUUGCGAUAUACGGCAAGCGGCCAAGCGAAAGCGUUAAGUAUUCCACCUGGGGAGUACGCCGGCAACGGUGAAACUCAAAGGAAUUGACGGGGGCCCGCACAAGCGGAGGAACAUGUGGUUUAAUUCGAUGAUACGCGAGGAACCUUACCCGGGCUUAAAUUGCAGAUGAAUUACGGUGAAAGCCGUAAGCCGCAAGGCAUCUGUGAAGGUGCUGCAUGGUUGUCGUCAGCUCGUGCCGUGAGGUGUCGGCUUAAGUGCCAUAACGAGCGCAACCCUUGUUGUCAGUUACUAACAGGUUCCGCUGAGGACUCUGACAAGACUGCCAUCGUAAGAUGUGAGGAAGGUGGGGAUGACGUCAAAUCAGCACGGCCCUUACGUCCGGGGCUACACACGUGUUACAAUGGGGGGUACAGAGGGCCGCUACCACGCGAGUGGAUGCCAAUCCCAAAAACCUCUCUCAGUUCGGACUGGAGUCUGCAACCCGACUCCACGAAGCUGGAUUCGCUAGUAAUCGCGCAUCAGCCACGGCGCGGUGAAUACGUUCCCGGGCCUUGUACACACCGCCCGUCAAGCCAUGGGAGCCGGGGGUACCUGAAGUGCGUAACCGCGAGGAGCGCCCUAGGGUAAAACUGGUGACUGGGGCU